GGUGUGAAAGCAAAUUUCUGAGACUGAACAGCAAACUGAGAGAGCCUCGGUCAGGGAAAUGUUUGAGAGGCAAAUCGAAACAGUUUCCAGAAAGAAAAUGGUCAGAUUUCUUUUUUGGCUUUUUACGCACAAAUGAGGGGAGAAAAUGCGCAUCUGUGCAGGACUUGAGUUUGGAGAUCUUUAUGAGUUUAUGAAGUGGCAGAAAUUCAGAAUUCUCAUGAUUAAUUAGAAAGUGUAUUUUCGCACUUAAAGUGCAGUAGACAUGGUGCAUAACAGCGCUGAUCAGAGGGUGAAUAAACGAUGUGUACGCUUCGCCCCUGACUGAUGCCUGACAGACAGGUGAUGGAUUGGCGCAAGAGCACGUCGGUGCAAAGCCGAGCGAACCGGCGGCGGCGGCAGCCUCACCCUCUCUCCCUCUCCUCUCCCCUGCUCCUCCUCUCCUCCUUCUUUCUCUCUCGCGCUGCCUCUUGGAGCAGACUCUCUGGCGCCGGCGCCGUGACGUCACCCCAUUCACAGCAGCCCUCGAGCCAGCCCUCGCGGCGCCGCUGAGGCGGUUUCCAUGGAGACGGGGUUUCGGGGAUGUCAGUCGGAGGUGGGUUCUCAGCUGAUCAACCCGCGGGGCCGAACCGGGGAGGCUCGACAGCACCGGGGACCGGUUUGGGGCCUCUGCGGGACUCUGAUGUGCUGCCGGUGCUGCUUUCAGGGACAAAUGUUCAAACUCACCACUGAGGGGAUGUAACUAACAUUUACUCACAAUUGUAGGGUCGGUUUGCCUCUAGAGUGUUUCAGUUUGAUGCAGCGUUAUUCUGCAGGACAGAUGAGAGGGAAACAGGUCUACUUUUACCUCCAUUGUGUUUACCUGACAUCUAUAGUUACUUUACAGGUUGAGAUUUAACAUAUAAAACAAGGUGAUCUUCCAAGACAUGGUGCACAGCUGUGGAUUUAAGACGAUUUAAGCUGCUCAGUAGUAUAUAAAAUAACUACCAAUAAUAAGAGGCAUAUGUAUUGUAAAGAUUUUUAUUUUAAGUAUGCUACAUACCUAAUUAAGUUACACAUUGAAUGCAGGACUGUUACAUCUGAGUACUUGUGCUGUGCAUACCUGCUACCUUUAUCUAAGUAAAGGGGCCAAAGACAUCAUCCACCAUUCAAAUCCUUCAGUGUUUUUUAUCCUUUAUUUAUUGCCAUAAUCUUUCAAGCAUGACACAGAAGCAAAAGAGAUAUAGUAAUUUUUUUCCAACAAACUUCUUUAAAUUGAAUUGAAAUAAAUUCAACCUUUUAAAUUUAGUUUUGUACUUUUUCCUUAUUUUUUUUCCAAAACAAACCAACUUCUGUAAUUGAUAGUGUGUAAUUUUGAGUUAUUUUACUUUGCAUUACUGUUACUUAUAUACGAGUAAAAGCUGAAUACAUCCUCCA
Long non-coding RNA from Acanthochromis polyacanthus (spiny chromis), 1413 nucleotides. RefSeq lists it as uncharacterized. NCBI's taxonomy places the organism in Eukaryota, Metazoa, Chordata, Actinopteri, Pomacentridae. The record is from RefSeq and is a predicted model, not a curated record. The transcript is spliced from 2 exons.